Molecule: ribosomal RNA, 490 nt
Filed under: uncultured bacterium
Lineage: Bacteria
Description: bacterial SSU rRNA
Rfam family: Bacterial small subunit ribosomal RNA
Source: RNAcentral
AUGAACGCUAGCUACAGGCUUAACACAUGCAAGUCGAGGGAAACGAUAUUGGAAGCUUGCUUCUGAUAGGCGUCGACCGGCGCACGGGUGAGUAACGCGUAUCCAACCUGCCCAUCACUUGGGGAUAACCUUGCGAAAGUAAGACUAAUACCCAAUGACGUCUCUAGAAGACAUCUGAAAGAGAUUAAAGAUUUAUCGGUGAUGGAUGGGGAUGCGUCUGAUUAGCUUGUUGGCGGGGUAACGGCCCACCAAGGCGACGAUCAGUAGGGGUUCUGAGAGGAAGGUCCCCCACAUUGGAACUGAGACACGGUCCAAACUCCUACGGGAGGCAGCAGUGAGGAAUAUUGGUCAAUGGACGAGAGUCUGAACCAGCCAAGUAGCGUGCAGGAUGACGGCCCUAUGGGUUGUAAACUGCUUUUAUAAGGGAAUAAAGUGGGAGUCGUGACUCUUUUUGCAUGUACCUUAUGAAUAAGGACCGGCUAAUUCCGUG